Molecule: ribosomal RNA, 186 nt
Filed under: uncultured bacterium
Lineage: Bacteria
Description: partial 16S ribosomal RNA
Rfam family: Bacterial small subunit ribosomal RNA
Source: RNAcentral
GCCUUCAUGAAGCCGGAAUUGCUAGUAAUGGCAGGUCAGCAUACCGCCGUGAAUACGUUCCCGGGCCUUGUACACACCGCCCGUCACACCAUGAGAGUUGGGAAUACCCGAAGCCUGUGAGCUAACGUUAAGAGGCAGCAGUCGAAGGUAGAAUCAAUGAUUGGGGUGAAGUCGUAACAAGGUACC